ACACGUAGGGGCCUGACGUUGUUCGGAAUCAUUGGGCGUAAAGGGCGCGCAGGCGGCCGUCCAAGUCCGGUGUUAAAUGGUCGGGCUCAACCCGAUCAUGCGCUGGAAACUGGGCGGCUUGAGUCCCGUAGGGGAUGCCGGAAUUCCAGGUGUAGGGGUGAAAUCUGUAGAUAUCUGGAAGAACACCGAUGGCGAAGGCAGGCAUCUGGCCGGAGACUGACGCUGAGGCGCGAAGGCGCGGGGAGCGAACAGGUUUAGAUACCCUGGUAGUCCGCGCAGUAAACGAUGCGCACCAGGUGUCGGGCGGCAGCGCCCGGUACCGGAGCUAACGCGAUGAGUGCGCCGCCUGGGGAGUAUGCCCGCAAGGGUGAAACUCAAAUGAAUGGACGGGG
Molecule: ribosomal RNA, 392 nt
Filed under: uncultured bacterium
Lineage: Bacteria
Description: partial 16S ribosomal RNA
Rfam family: Bacterial small subunit ribosomal RNA
Source: RNAcentral